AUUGCCUUGACCAUCCCAGUAUAGCUGAAGAGGGGUGUAUGUGGUUGGGGGGAGGGGUGUUGUGUGUCUUGGCCUUCCUGAAGUUCUCUUUCUCUCCAGGGCACUUGAGAGGCUGGACAGGGAUAAACUGCUCUUCAAUAAUAGGCUGGAUGUGCAGUCUUGAAGGAAUCCUACGCUUCAUGAAUGAGGAUUUGACAUCUGGCAGAGGUCUUUAUGAACACAUUUAUGAUCAUCCUUCAAAGCAACCACAUGAAAUGGGCCAGGGGCUUGUUCUCUUUUAGCAGACAGACGGGUUGAGUCACCACAAGAUGCUGUUAUGGUUUAAAUGUGUGGAGCUAUAUAUAUACAUACACACAUACACAUGUAUAUAUCAAUCAAGCUAUACUUAUCCCCAAUAACAGAGAGGAAAAAUAUAUUAUUAGAAUAAGAGCCGCAUAUUUUGGAAAACUUACCAUGUGCCA
This 461-nucleotide long non-coding RNA is filed under the name Homo sapiens (human). Its description in RNAcentral is "HSALNT0028452". The record is from RNAcentral. Lineage: Eukaryota; Metazoa; Chordata; Mammalia; Primates; Hominidae.